UCGUGCCUGGCUCCCUGUAUACCACAAGCAAACACCGAUCUCUUAUGAAAUCGAUCGCUAGUGGUGUAUAGAGUAGUCAAGCAUGA
RNAcentral lists this microRNA precursor (86 nucleotides) under Brassica rapa (field mustard). RNAcentral's name for it is "pre miRNA mir-160". It matches the Rfam family "mir-160 microRNA precursor family". Rfam says of the family: The hairpin precursors (represented here) are predicted based on base pairing and cross-species conservation -- their extents are not known. In this case the mature sequence is excised from the 5' arm of the hairpin. Lineage: Eukaryota; Viridiplantae; Streptophyta; Magnoliopsida; Brassicales; Brassicaceae. The record is from Rfam by way of RNAcentral.